GAUCUCCCUUCUUUGCACCCCGAUCUCUCUUCUUCGCAACGUGAUUGGUGGUGGCCAUGACUCUCCCUCCUUCGCACACUAGAUUGAGAACCAUACUUCACGCCAUUGUGAACCCCUAAAAACCCUAAUCACACUCGUAUCCUUCACUGGCAAAAUAUCCAUUGUUUUUCCUUUUUCGAAUCAUUGUAGAGAGAAAAGAUGUCAAUUAGUUUGAUGAGACAAAGCUAGUUGAUUUUGAAGGUGUUUAUGUUUGAAGAUCACGUGUUCGAUGAAAUGCCUAAAUGAAAAUUGAUCAAUCCUGAUUUUCAGAGGAUGAUAGUCAUGGCGAUUUCCAAACCAUCAUGGUCACGGUCUAGGAUGAAACAAUGCUUUCAUGGCAGACGUCGGGCCAUUCACUGUUUCGGUAAAGAAUGAAUUCAUAUUUGGUUUUUAAUUACUCCUCUCAAAGGAAAUUGGCUGAGCAAUACCAAAACGUUUUUUGAGGGACAAGCUUCGAUCAGUAGAGCUUCCUGGAGUCGUAGCUUGGCGUGGAAAGUUGGUGAUAAACACCCAGGUUUUUAAUUAUUGUACUCUUCUUAUAUCUUAUUUAUAGGCAGAUAUGUAGUGGUUCUUGACGAUGGCGUGUUCGGGAGUAACGAAACUAGGCGACGGACAAGAGUUAAAUGGUAUCCCGUACCCGACAUGUUCUAGUGGUGAUGCUUCCAGUGAAAAAGGGUGACAGUGGUAGUUGAUGACGACUUUCUUCAUAGUCAAGCAAUAGAUCCAAGGUACAAUGUCUUGUUCCAACCAAAUCACAAAUGCUAAGGUGUAAGCUGUUGUUGAUAGGUAAAAAGUUUUAUUAACAAAAGGAGUACAAAACAUGAAUAUGGAGUUUGUUUCCUUUGCUUCGUUAGUGCAUUGAAAGGUCGGAGAUGAAGUUUUCCUCAAAAGCAUUCUAAACUCUACCGAGACUGUAGCAAGAGGAAGCGUCCAGAGCUUAAACCCAAAUGUUCUAGUUGGUGGUACAGAGAUUGGAAGAAUGGUGUGAGGUAAACGUUCAAGUACCAAUAAAAAAGGAUGAAAACUUUGUAAGACCAUAUGGUUUAUUUUCUACAAUUCAAGAUUGUAUUGGUGCAUCCAUCGCAUGGCCCUAUCCAUUCAUCUCGGUAGUCCAUGAGGAUUGAGGACGCAUGAUGACUCAAGAUUUUAUGUUUCUUAUUUCUUUAAUUGUUUUUAAUUUCUUUGUUAAAUGUUAAUACUUUAUGUUAGAUAAUGUUAUAAUUUAUUUAUGGUUAGUGUUUUUGUUAU
This 1287-nucleotide long non-coding RNA is filed under the name Helianthus annuus (common sunflower). Its description in RNAcentral is "hypothetical non coding rna". Lineage: Eukaryota; Viridiplantae; Streptophyta; Magnoliopsida; Asterales; Asteraceae. The record is from RNAcentral.